This is a long non-coding RNA of Triticum dicoccoides, 1208 nucleotides long. RefSeq lists it as uncharacterized. The transcript is spliced from 4 exons. NCBI's taxonomy places the organism in Eukaryota, Viridiplantae, Streptophyta, Magnoliopsida, Poales, Poaceae. The record is from RefSeq and is a predicted model, not a curated record.
CCGCCGCCGCCGAUCUUCUUCUCUGGCCAUCCGCCGACCUCCUGUUCUCCUUCCCCUCCCAACCCGCAGCCUCCUCAAUCUCCAACCUCCUACACCCGUAUCGUGCUUCUCUGCUUUGGAUCGAGUUGGCCGGAUCGACCACAUGGCCAAUGCCAAGGUCGCCAGUCCAUCGUCCUGCUCCACUCGUGUGCGCCCUCGACGCCGACGCCCUCUGAUACUCUUUGCCGCAGCCGCCGCCGUCGGCCUCCGUCACCACGCGCCCCCUUUGAGCACACUGGAUGCAAUCUCACAUGGCGUCGUCGUCCGCACUGUCUAACACCACCUACGGACACAGAAUGGCGGAUCAAGGUGUUUGAUGAAAUGCCCAACCACACCAACAACGCGAAUUUAGUUCUACAUGGUGGAAUCAACGAGGUAGCAUGACCUUCAGCCUUCUACAAGAGUGGCGAGCUGGGAGCCGGCGAGGUAGGCGACAUCGUUGACGACGGCCGUCAUGGCCUCCACCUGUGCCCUCUUGUAGGUGGACUGCUGGUCAUUGAUGUGGCGAGUCGGGCUCUUGCAGCAAAAUCUACGAUAUUCUCUGGAUGAGCUGCAGGUAGGCCAGGCUGUUCACGAGGAUCCGACAACGACCACCAAGGUACACAAACAACAAUGUAACAACUCUAGAAAUCUACAUCUUAAUACUGCCCUAUUUUCGGGGAUUCAAAUCUCCAGGCUGGAAUCAACAAGCUCACAUAAUCUUCAGUCUUCCACAAUUAUGUUUUGCUUCAUGUUCUAUGAUCAGGCUGUAAUCUGCUGGUGCGGUGCUGCCCUGCUUUGAUUUGGGGGUUCAUCUGGGAUCUAAUUUUUGACCGAACAAAGCUGGUGGCUGACGGCUGGUGUCACCUGAUGGUACUGUGCUACGGAGAGAGAUGUUUUUCCAGCAAUAGAAGUGGCCAGUUAGUUAAGUUGAAGAUUUGUGCCAUCUCUUCUUCAGGCCUGUAGCUUGUGGUUUCAGUCAGAUAGUUAAAGUCGCAUUGUCUUGCAACAGCGAGGACUGCUGGGUUAACUGUUUGUGGUUUCAGUCGGAUAGUUAAAGUUGCAUUUUCAGUCGGACACAUGCUUGUUGUUUUGCCUGCUUUUUUCUUGACUGCGCACUCUCGCCGUUCGUCGUCGUGCAAUGUUGAAGUUAUUCAUGCGGUGGGGUGGAUGAAAGUUAGUGCCAGACU